CCCCCCGCCCGCCCUCACUCACUCACUCACCCUCCCAGAGAGCGCUCACUUUCCCUUCCCCUCGGCCCCGCCCCCGGUUCCAGCCCCACCCACCCCCAACCGGCGUGCGAGCGCGAGAGCUCGAAAAGGGGAGGGCGGGGGGCAAGAGAAGAGGGAGCCGGGAUUGGUUGCUAGGGUGGUGACGUCAAGGAGUCGGGGACGAGGGGGAGCCGGAGACACGGAAAAGCUGGUUUCUGUCGAGAGACUUCUGCAAUUUGUUGAUUUGAAUAAGAAUUGACACAUGAUGAACUCAUCCAAUAGCUAUAUAAACAGCAGGGUGAGAAGGCUGCACAGGGAGCAAUUAUUCUACUGGUGCCCAGACAACAGCAUUUGAAGAUCAACAGGGCCAUGUCAGAAAGUUCAAGGAUUUGUACUGAAGUUCUGGAGUGUACAUUUUGUUUUCUAUGUAAGUUUCAUUUAUGCAAUGGAAAGCUAACUUCUUUGCAAGGAAAAAACCAAAACAAUUGGUGCUCAAACAUUUAUUUCUAUAAAGCUGCCUCUCCCUCCCUUUUUAAAGCUGCCUUGGGCAGGAAAGGCAGGGUAGAAAUCUGAUUUUACAAAAAUAUUUGUUCAACAGCAGCAUAAUAAACUAUUUUAGCACCAGA
Long non-coding RNA from Hemicordylus capensis (graceful crag lizard), 644 nucleotides. RefSeq lists it as uncharacterized. The transcript is spliced from 3 exons. The record is from RefSeq and is a predicted model, not a curated record. NCBI's taxonomy places the organism in Eukaryota, Metazoa, Chordata, Lepidosauria, Squamata, Cordylidae.